GACGAACGCUGGCGGCGUGCUUAACACAUGCAAGUCGAACGGAAAGGCCCUGCUUUUGUGGGGUGCUCGAGUGGCGAACGGGUGAGUAACACGUGAGUAACCUGCCCUUGACUUUGGGAUAACUUCAGGAAACUGGGGCUAAUACCGGAUAGGAGCUCCUGCUGCAUGGUGGGGGUUGGAAAGUUUCGGCGGUUGGGGAUGGACUCGCGGCUUAUCAGCUUGUUGGUGGGGUAGUGGCUUACCAAGGCUUUGACGGGUAGCCGGCCUGAGAGGGUGACCGGCCCCAUUGGGACUGAGAUACGGCCCAGACUCCUACGGGAGGCAGCAGUGGGGAAUAGUGCACAAUGGGCGGAAGCCUGAUGCAGCAACGCCGCGUGCGGGAUGACGGCCUUCGGGUUGUAAACCGCUUUCGCCUGUGACGAAGCGUGAGUGACGGUAAUGGGUAAAGAAGCACCGGCUAACUACGUG
Molecule: ribosomal RNA, 468 nt
Filed under: uncultured bacterium
Lineage: Bacteria
Description: partial 16S ribosomal RNA
Rfam family: Bacterial small subunit ribosomal RNA
Source: RNAcentral